Molecule: unclassified non-coding RNA, 242 nt
Filed under: uncultured bacterium
Lineage: Bacteria
Description: contains 16S-23S intergenic spacer region
Source: RNAcentral
AAAAAACCGAAAUCGAAACCCAGAUUUCCUCCAUGCUAGCUUCUGGUCUGAUUCAGCCCAGCCAUAGCCCUUUCUCAUCCCCGAUCCUAUUAGUCAAGAAAAAGGAUGGAUCCUGGCGGUGUUGCGUGGACUAUAGAGCCUUGAAUUCCAUUACGGUUAAAGACCGAUUUCCCAUGCCCACAAUCGAUGAGUUGUUGGACGAUUUGGGCAAGGCUUCAUGUUUUUCGAAGCUCGAUUUACGG